GUGGGGAAUAUUGGACAAUGGGCGCAAGCCUGAUCCAGCAAUGCCGCGUGGAUGAAGAAGGUCUUCGGAUUGUAAAGUCCUUUCGGCGGGGACGAUGAUGACGGUACCCGCAGAAGAAGCCCCGGCUAACUUCGUGCCAGCAGCCGCGGUAAUACGAAGGGGGCUAGCGUUGCUCGGAAUGACUGGGCGUAAAGGGCGCGUAGGCGGAUUGAUCAGUCAGGCGUGAAAUUCCUGGGCUUAACCUGGGGGCUGCGUUUGAGACGGUUGGUCUAGAGUGGGGAAGAGGGUCGUGGAAUUCCCAGUGUAGAGGUGAAAUUCGUAGAUAUUGGGAAGAACACCGGUGGCGAAGGCGGCGACCUGGUCCUUGACUGACGCUGAGGCGCGAAAGCGUGGGGAGCAAACAGGAUUAGAAACCCUAGUAGUCC
RNAcentral lists this ribosomal RNA (425 nucleotides) under uncultured bacterium. RNAcentral's name for it is "bacterial SSU rRNA". It matches the Rfam family "Bacterial small subunit ribosomal RNA", at positions 354 to 796 of the family's 1533-position model. The record is from RNAcentral.